ACUUGAUAAAAAUCCUCGCAUUUCCAAAAUGUUUUCAUUUUAAGCAUUUGCAGAAGUUAAAUAAAUGUAGCAGACAUUCUAAAUUCGAUAAAAAAUUCAGAGAACCCGACAUUUUAUGUACCCCAAAGGUCCAAACAGAACCGAUGUAAAUGUCAAUAGCUGUCUCCCUUCCGGCUGAUACUUAAAUGGUUUUACUAGUACUCAAAGCAAUGAAAUCAGCAACUCUCUCUCCACACUCUAGUCAACACUCCAAUUUCCAAAGCCGCAAUUCGCAAACGUCAGUUGGGCGGGGGCGGUGGGGGAUCUUGAAGUAAUCCAAAAAUUUCCUUUCCCCUUUGACAGUCCACCAAAAGAUGUCAAACCAAAUCCAGCCUAUUGUAAAGCUCUGGGACCUCCCUUCCAAGGACACCGAACACAAGCUUAGACACCGCUGCGAAAAGCUGUCCAAAAGCGCCUGGCCGGACAGAAAUGGUUGCCGUGCAGGGAGUGUCAGC
RNAcentral lists this long non-coding RNA (494 nucleotides) under Pan troglodytes (chimpanzee). RNAcentral describes it as "long non-coding RNA NONPTRT014261". Lineage: Eukaryota; Metazoa; Chordata; Mammalia; Primates; Hominidae. The record is from RNAcentral.